This 629-nucleotide ribosomal RNA is filed under the name Nigrohirschioporus sector. Its description in RNAcentral is "eukaryotic LSU rRNA". Lineage: Eukaryota; Fungi; Basidiomycota; Agaricomycetes; Hymenochaetales; Hirschioporaceae. The record is from RNAcentral.
UGCGGAAGGAUCAUUAUCGAGUGUAGACGUGGGGCUUUGAUGCUGGCGGUCAAACGCAAGUGCUCGAGCCCUCGCUCUUAUCCACUUAACCCCUGUGCACCUAUCCGGAGUGUCGCAGACUGGUGUCGGUUUCGACUGGCUAAGGUCUGUCUCUCUGGUCUGAUUACAAACGCUUGUAAUGUCUUGUAGAAUGUGUUAGCCGCAUAUAGGCUGAAUUGUAAUACAACUUUCAACAACGGAUCUCUUGGCUCUCGCAUCGAUGAAGAACGCAGCGAAAUGCGAUAAGUAAUGUGAAUUGCAGAAUUCAGUGAAUCAUCGAAUCUUUGAACGCACCUUGCGCUCCUUGGCUAUUCCGAGGAGCAUGCCUGUUUGAGUGUCAUGUUAAUCUCAACCCCGCCGGUUUUGUAAUCGCGUGGGUGUUGGACUUGGGGGCUGCUGGUUUGCUUAUGUAAGCCGGCUCCUCUUGAAUGCAUUAGCUUGGACCUGUUUCACUUGCGAGUGGUGUAAUAAUACUAUUCGCUGCGCGCAAGUGUAAACUCAUUAGGGUCUGYUUCUAAUCUGUCUUAGGACAAAUUUUCUUGACUCUGACCUCAAAUCAGGUAGGACUACCCGCUGAACUUAAGCAUAUC